RNAcentral lists this long non-coding RNA (216 nucleotides) under Junco hyemalis (dark-eyed junco). RNAcentral's name for it is "lncRNA (ENSJHYG00000017979.1)". Lineage: Eukaryota; Metazoa; Chordata; Aves; Passeriformes; Passerellidae. The record is from RNAcentral.
UUUGUUAAAUUAAAAUGACCUUCUCAUGCAUAUUUUUUCCAUAUAGGGCCCAUCUGGACUAAAAGGAAUCCUGGACUCAUUGAACAAGCAUUAUAAUGAGAGUGACACAAGACUACUGGGAAUACUUGGGACCCCUGGACUUAAAGGCCAGAAAGGAGACAUUGUAAGCAUUUGGGAUGAAUUUGGAGAAGUUUCAAAGGGCCUACCCAACCUGUC